UAUGUUUCUGUUCAAUUUAAAAUGUUUUUUUUAAUGAAAUAUUUUAGAAGGCCUUAAUUUAUCUGGUAAAAUGUGGCCUUGAGAUUGUAAUCAUGAUAUGAGGAUCAUGUAGAUUUAACAAGAGAUAAUAGCAUCAGUCAUUGCAUAAUUUCUUUACUUGGUUUAUGUAGUUUUUCAUCAAAUAAUAACUUGGCCAUAAUAUUACUGAUUAUUUAAUGCAGGUUUUUGUGACUUAGUUAUCUGGCAACAGAAUACCAUAAUCUUAACAAAUUAUGUCAAUAUUUAUAUGUUACACCAGGUUGAUUCACCAUCACCAGUUGAGCUGUGUUGAGCUGUAUCAGAUAUUAGAUUAAACUUUACUGCCAUUGCAUAAACAUAUACUGUAUAAACAUUGGUUGUUUCUCCAGCCUUAACCUGUCACUGUUUUAUAGGAUGCUGUCACUCAUUUUUGGAAGCCUGCUGUGGUUUCCUCAAAGGUUCCAUGUUUGAGGAAAUAUUAUGUGCUGCUGACCUGAGUUUUGCUGCUGCUGGAUGUCAAUGCUGACUUUAUUAAUAUGGUUUAUUAAUAUGGAUCCAAGAAUAUGUUGUUCAUUUGUUCAGGAGAUUGAGUACACCAUGCAUCCUUUUGGUUCUCUCCAAGUACUGUAAGUACUGCAUGGAACUGAUUAUUCAACUAUUUCUCUGGAGUACAUAGACCAGUACUGUGAUCACCUGAGUAAGUCCAUCAAGUGUUAUUCUUUCUCACCUUUUUCUGUCUGUCUCCUAUCACUUUUUGAAGGGUUCCAUGUUGGAGGAAAUAUUCUUUGCUACUCUGCUGUUUGUGUGGAAUAAAUAAUCUCUAAAAAUA
Long non-coding RNA from Melanotaenia boesemani (Boeseman's rainbowfish), 847 nucleotides. RefSeq lists it as uncharacterized. NCBI's taxonomy places the organism in Eukaryota, Metazoa, Chordata, Actinopteri, Atheriniformes, Melanotaeniidae. The transcript has 5 exons. The record is from RefSeq and is a predicted model, not a curated record.